Solanum stenotomum is the source of this 291-nucleotide long non-coding RNA. RefSeq lists it as uncharacterized. The record is from RefSeq and is a predicted model, not a curated record. NCBI's taxonomy places the organism in Eukaryota, Viridiplantae, Streptophyta, Magnoliopsida, Solanales, Solanaceae. The transcript is spliced from 2 exons.
AUGGGAUUUGCUAGUUCUUUACUAAAGGAAAUAUUUUUUGGUAGGAAAAUCAACUCCAAAAAUUAUAAUAAGGUUGAUAGUACUACUAAUUUUACUUAUGUUUGUAGAGAUGAGUUGGAUAAGAAAAAGCCCAAAAUCAAAAAACAAGUGAAAUUUGAUUUAGAACCUAAAUGCCAGCAAGAAGAAGAAACAAGUACCCUUUUGGAGUUGAACAAAAAUAGUGGUACUUCUUUGGAGAAAUAUAAAGUUAGCGGUGGCGGUGAUGAUAAUGAUCAUGCAAAUAGUGACGGG